RNAcentral lists this ribosomal RNA (468 nucleotides) under uncultured bacterium. Its description in RNAcentral is "partial 16S ribosomal RNA". It matches the Rfam family "Bacterial small subunit ribosomal RNA", at positions 28 to 507 of the family's 1533-position model. The record is from RNAcentral.
GACGAACGCUGGCGGCGUGCUUAACACAUGCAAGUCGAACGGAAAGGCCCUGCUUUUGUGGGGUGCUCGAGUGGCGAACGGGUGAGUAACACGUGAGUAACCUACCCUUCACUUUUGGUUAACUUCACGAAACUGGGGCUAAUCUCGUAUAGGAGCUCCUGCUUCAUUGUGGGGGUUGGAAAGUUUCGGCGGUUGGUUAUGUACUCGCGGCUUGUCAGCUUGUUGGUGGGGUAGUGGCUUACGAAGGCUUGGAAGGGUAGCCGGCCUGAGCGGGUUACCGGCAACAUGGGGACUGAGAGAGGGGGCAGAAGCGGAGGGGAGGGAGCAGUGGGGAAAAGUGCAAAGCGGGGGGAAGCCGGAAGCAGCAACGCCGCGUGCGGGAUGAAGGCCUUCGGGUAGUAAACCGCUUUCGCCUGGGAUGAAGCGGGAGUGACGGUAACGGGUAAAGAAGCACCGGCUAACUACGUG